GCUGUUAAAAUAAUUGAAAAGAAAAUUGAAAAAAUUAAGUAAAGCAAAAUAGUUGAUUGUGUCGGAAUAGAAUAUAACAUAUACGAUACGACGUUCAAUUUUCAAGGAAGCUAUAACGACGAUUAGUGUAAUGACAAUUUCGCAUUUUGACCGCGGCACGAUUCAGCGGGCGCGAUGCGCGAGAGAUGAGAAGAGUUAGAGGGAGGGGCGAUUCUAACAAACGCUGCCGGACUUCGGAGUAGUUGUUAAUGUAGUAUAUGUGUGACAACGGGAUUGACAACAUGGAUACGUCUGACUUAGGAGGAGGUUCGUUAAAAUAUAUUUUGAAUAUUAUUGCAAAAAAAAUGUUUUUUUAUGAUACGACAAAUUUGAUCGAUAUAAAGGUAAUUAGAGUGAUGGGUUGUGCUUCAUUGAUGGUGAAAAAUAGAAUGGAAUAAUAUUAAAGAAUUGAAAUUAAAGUAUCGAACAAGGUGGAGGAGUCGUAGGAAGAGAAGGAGCAGGAGAAGGUGGAGGAAGACGAGGAGAAGGAGGAGAAAAAGAAGGAGGAGGGACAACAGGAUGGUUGCUUAAUCGGUAGGAAGUCACAUCAACUAUACAGCUGUGUAACCUGUACAAGACACCAAUACGUGCAUCAUUUUCUUCAUUACAUCGGCUGUAAGAAGUCAUAGGAGAAGAAUUACUAAGAUCUAAGAA
This 693-nucleotide long non-coding RNA is filed under the name Apis florea (little honeybee). RNAcentral describes it as "uncharacterized LOC116415176, transcript variant X1". The record is from RNAcentral. Lineage: Eukaryota; Metazoa; Arthropoda; Insecta; Hymenoptera; Apidae.